CGUAGGGUGCGAGCGUUAAUCGGAAUUACUGGGCGUAAAGCGUGCGCAGGCGGUUUUGUAAGACAGGCGUGAAAUCCCCGGGCUCAACCUGGGAACUGCGCUUGUGACUGCAAGGCUAGAGUACGGCAGAGGGGGUGGAAUUCCACGUGUAGCAGUGAAAUGCGUAGAGAUGUGGAGGAGCACCAAUGGCGAAGGCAGCCCCUCGGGUCGAUACUGACGCUCAUGCACGAAAGCGUGGGUAGCAAACAGGAUUAGAUACCCUGGUAGUCCACGCCCUAAACGAUGUCAACUAGGUGUUGGGUGGGUAAAACCAUUUAGUACCGGAGCUAACGCGUGAAGUUGACCGCCUGGGGAGUACGGCCGCAAGGUUA
Molecule: ribosomal RNA, 371 nt
Filed under: uncultured organism
Description: bacterial SSU rRNA
Rfam family: Bacterial small subunit ribosomal RNA
Source: RNAcentral